Non-coding RNA from Nicotiana tabacum (common tobacco), 275 nucleotides. NCBI's taxonomy places the organism in Eukaryota, Viridiplantae, Streptophyta, Magnoliopsida, Solanales, Solanaceae. The record is from RefSeq and is a predicted model, not a curated record.
UUCNCUGCGAUGCUGAGGUUGCUCUUAUCAUCUUCUCUAAUCGUGGUAAACUCUAUGAGUUCUGCAGCACUUCAAGCAUGAUGAAAACAAUUGAAAAAUAUAAACGUUGCAGCUAUGCUACUUUGGAAGCCAACCAAUCAGCCACUGAUACUCAGAACAACUACCACGGGUAUUUGAGGCUAAAAGCUAGAGUUGAGCCCCUUCAACGAUCUCAGAGGUAAGUUCCUAAUCUUUUAAUACUCCCUAUAUAUAUCUGUUUUAAAAGGCGUUUCUGG